CCAUUCCGAACCUGGAAGCUAAGGCCCGGCACGGCGAUGGUACUGCACCCGGCAGGGUGUGGGAGAGUAGCACGCCGCCGCAC
Molecule: ribosomal RNA, 83 nt
Filed under: Pseudoscardovia suis
Lineage: Bacteria; Bacillati; Actinomycetota; Actinomycetes; Bifidobacteriales; Bifidobacteriaceae
Source: RNAcentral